GCACUCGUAGCUCAGAUGGAUAGAGCGUCCCCCUCCUAAGGGGAAGGCCGGGGGUUCGACUCCCUUCGGGUGCACCA
This 77-nucleotide transfer RNA is filed under the name Clostridium bovifaecis. Its description in RNAcentral is "tRNA-Arg". It matches the Rfam family "tRNA". Rfam says of the family: Transfer RNA (tRNA) molecules are approximately 80 nucleotides in length. Their secondary structure includes four short double-helical elements and three loops (D, anti-codon, and T loops). Lineage: Bacteria; Bacillati; Bacillota; Clostridia; Eubacteriales; Clostridiaceae. The record is from RNAcentral.